RNAcentral lists this ribosomal RNA (484 nucleotides) under uncultured bacterium. Its description in RNAcentral is "partial 16S ribosomal RNA". It matches the Rfam family "Bacterial small subunit ribosomal RNA", at positions 30 to 507 of the family's 1533-position model. The record is from RNAcentral.
AUUGAACGCUGGCGGCAGGCCUAACACAUGCAAGUCGAGCGGAUGAAGGGAGCUUGCUCCUGGAUUCAGCGGCGGACGGGUGAGUAAUGCCUAGGAAUCUGCCUGGUAGUGGGGGAUAACGUCCGGAAACGGGCGCUAAUACCGCAUACGUCCUGAGGGAGAAAGUGGGGGAUCUUCGGACCUCACGCUAUCAGAUGAGCCUAGGUCGGAUUAGCUAGUUGGUGGGGUAAAGGCCUACCAAGGCGACGAUCCGUAACUGGUCUGAGAGGAUGAUCAGCCACACUGGAACUGAGACACGGUCCAGACUCCUACGGGAGGCGGCAGUGGGGAAUAUUGGACAAUGGGCGAAAGCCUGAUCCAGCCAUGCCGCGUGUGUGAAGAAGGUCUUCGGAUUGUAAAGCACUUUAAGUUGGGAGGAAGAGCAGUAAGUUAAUACCUUGCUGUUUUGACGUUACCAACAGAAUAAGCACCGGCUAACUUCGUG